This 254-nucleotide ribosomal RNA is filed under the name uncultured bacterium. Its description in RNAcentral is "partial 16S ribosomal RNA". It matches the Rfam family "Bacterial small subunit ribosomal RNA", at positions 524 to 776 of the family's 1533-position model. The record is from RNAcentral.
UACGUAGGGUCCAAGCGUUGUCCGGAUUUAUUGGGCGUAAAGAGCUCGUAGGCGGCUCAGUAAGUCGGAUGUGAAAACUCGGGGCUCAACCCCGAGACGCCAUCCGAUACUGCUGUGGCUUGAGUCUGGUAGGGGAACACGGAAUUCCUGGUGUAGCGGUGAAAUGCGCAGAUAUCAGGAGGAACACCGGUGGCGAAGGCGGGUCUCUGGGCCGAAACUGACGCUGAGGAGCGAAAGCGUGGGGAGCGAACAGG